CCACAAAAUGAUGUCUGAGUCUGAGGGGAUUCCUAGGGGAUUGUUAGAUCCUGUUUCAUGAAGGAAAAGGAGAUGGACUAUGGCUAUAGCUGCAAUGACGAACAGGAGAAUGAAGUAGAAUGC
Perognathus longimembris pacificus (Pacific pocket mouse) is the source of this 123-nucleotide long non-coding RNA. RefSeq lists it as uncharacterized. NCBI's taxonomy places the organism in Eukaryota, Metazoa, Chordata, Mammalia, Rodentia, Heteromyidae. The transcript is spliced from 3 exons. The record is from RefSeq and is a predicted model, not a curated record.